GCCUGGGUGGCUCAGUCAGUUAAGCGUCUGAUUUCAGCUCAGGUCAUGAUCUCGCAGUGUGCAAGUUCAAGUCCUGCAUCAGGCU
Molecule: transfer RNA, 85 nt
Filed under: Felis catus (domestic cat)
Lineage: Eukaryota; Metazoa; Chordata; Mammalia; Carnivora; Felidae
Also listed under: 2 other names
Rfam family: tRNA
About the family: Transfer RNA (tRNA) molecules are approximately 80 nucleotides in length. Their secondary structure includes four short double-helical elements and three loops (D, anti-codon, and T loops). Further hydrogen bonds mediate the characteristic L-shaped molecular structure. tRNAs have two regions of fundamental functional importance: the anti-codon, which is responsible for specific mRNA codon recognition, and the 3' end, to which the tRNAs corresponding amino acid is attached (by aminoacyl-tRNA synthetases). tRNAs cope with the degeneracy of the genetic code in two manners: having more than one tRNA (with a specific anti-codon) for a particular amino acid; and 'wobble' base-pairing, i.e. permitting non-standard base-pairing at the 3rd anti-codon position.
Source: Rfam by way of RNAcentral